UGCAAGUCGAACGAUGAACCGCUUUCGGGCGGGGAUUAGUGGCGAACGGGUGAGUAACACGUGGGCAAUCUGCCCUGCACUCUGGGACAAGCCCUGGAAACGGGGUCUAAUACCGGAUAUGACUGUCCAUCGCAUGGUGGAUGGUGUAAAGCUCCGGCGGUGCAGGAUGAGCCCGCGGCCUAUCAGCUUGUUGGUGAGGUAGUGGCUCACCAAGGCGACGACGGGUAGCCGGCCUGAGAGGGCGACCGGCCACACUGGGACUGAGACACGGCCCAGACUCCUACGGGAGGCAGCAGUGGGGAAUAUUGCACAAUGGGCGAAAGCCUGAUGCAGCGACGCCGCGUGAGGGAUGACGGCCUUCGGGUUGUAAACCUCUUUCAGCAGGGAAGAAGCGAAAGUGACGGUACCUGCAGAAGAAGCGCCGGCUAACUACGUGCCAGCAGCCGCGGUAAUACGUAGGGCGCAAGCGUUGUCCGGAAUUAUUGGGCGUAAAGAGCUCGUAGGCGGCUUGUCACGUCGGUUGUGAAAGCCCGGGGCUUAACCCCGGGUCUGCAGUCGAUACGGGCAGGCUAGAGUUCGGUAGGGGAGAUCGGAAUUCCUGGUGUAGCGGUGAAAUG
This 617-nucleotide ribosomal RNA is filed under the name Streptomyces sp. YIM 56083. RNAcentral's name for it is "bacterial SSU rRNA". It matches the Rfam family "Bacterial small subunit ribosomal RNA", at positions 56 to 688 of the family's 1533-position model. Lineage: Bacteria; Bacillati; Actinomycetota; Actinomycetes; Kitasatosporales; Streptomycetaceae. The record is from RNAcentral.